UAUUUACCCCAUUUUAGGGACACGUUCAUUCACUGCAGCAUUUAAUACUCCCUUACAUUAAAGAAAAGGGGAAAAAGGUGCGUGAAAACCGAAGCUCAAAACAACAUCUCUUAACUCCAUGUUUAUCUUCAUCAAGCUCAAAAUCCUUCUUCAACACAUCCAAAAUUCAAGGAAAGUGAUGAAUUCUUAUCGUAUUUCAAAAGUUUAUCAUCCCGAACCCAAAAAUUCGUGGUUGUUUUUGGCUAUAAAAACCCGAAAAAAAUCAUCUCAAAAACACACACAACCUAGCCGAAAUAUACCAAAUACAAAGUAAUUUAAGUGAGUUCGUGAAUUGGCCUAUUUGUGAAGAGAAGAUAGUCGUUGGAGGGAAGCUUAGUCUCGAAUCCAAGGAAGAACAAGAAUGACGGUGAAUUUGGGGUCAAAGCCGGGUUUAUUCGACAGUUCUUGGGAGUGUAUGAACGCGUACAAUCCAGAAGCAAUACUUCAGCGCAUUAAGGCAUACGUAGGCUUCCUAAACGAGGCUGAACCAGAGAAGCUGCUUCACAUUUUCAGUGCUGAACCGGAACUUGAAAUAGAAGAUCCAUUACCGAUUAAAUACAAGAGCAUGGCAGAACGAACAUUGAAGGAACUGGGAGUCCCGAGAACAUGAGAAGAUCCUCUUUGCAUUGUCUUUCUAGAGCUAGAGAAUCCUCUAAAGCUGAAUUUAGGUUUCCUUAAUCUUCUCCCUAAAUUCUAUGGGAAUGCAGGUGAGAAUCCUUAUAGACACUUAAAAGAAUUUAAGGUUGUAUGCUCUUCCAUGAAUCCUGAAGGCGUAGAAGAAGAACAUAUUAGAUUGCAUGCUUUUCCUUUUUCUUUGCAAGAUCCUACUAAAGAAUGGCUAUAGAGCAACUUUCACCUAAUUCUAUUAAUUCUUGGGCAGAAAUGGAAAAAGUUUUUCUUGAAA
Chenopodium quinoa (quinoa) is the source of this 943-nucleotide long non-coding RNA. RefSeq lists it as uncharacterized. The transcript is spliced from 2 exons. The record is from RefSeq and is a predicted model, not a curated record. Lineage: Eukaryota; Viridiplantae; Streptophyta; Magnoliopsida; Caryophyllales; Amaranthaceae.